GCCCCCGUAGCUCAGGGGAUAGAGCACGAACCUCCUAAGUUCGGUGUCGCAGGUUCGAGUCCUGCCGGGGGCGCCA
This 76-nucleotide transfer RNA is filed under the name Armatimonadota bacterium. RNAcentral's name for it is "Armatimonadetes bacterium tRNA-Arg". It matches the Rfam family "tRNA". Rfam says of the family: Transfer RNA (tRNA) molecules are approximately 80 nucleotides in length. Their secondary structure includes four short double-helical elements and three loops (D, anti-codon, and T loops). The record is from RNAcentral. RNAcentral also lists the same sequence under 1 other name. Lineage: Bacteria; Bacillati; Armatimonadota.